RNAcentral lists this long non-coding RNA (347 nucleotides) under Brassica rapa (field mustard). RNAcentral's name for it is "long non-coding RNA (BRAP_LNC004460)". The record is from RNAcentral. Lineage: Eukaryota; Viridiplantae; Streptophyta; Magnoliopsida; Brassicales; Brassicaceae.
ACAACCCGUGUAUUAAUUUUGGAAAGUUCAAAAAAUCCCCUAUAUAUUAAAAGAGAAACAUUACAACAUAUUUUUGUAGCCACAUAUCAUCACCACAAUUAUUCUUAGAAUUCUUAAAAAAAUAUGUGGUCCAUAUAAAUAUAUAAUAAGCUUUUUAUUAAACUAACCAUAAAUUAAUCAUAUAUGUUUUUCAUUGUUUCCUUCAAUAAAAAUCACAAAAUUACCUAAUGUGGCUAAAGUAUAUAUAUGACAAUCAAUGAUUUUGAAUAAUAAAGAUUUGAUAAAAAUUAGUCUAUUCUCUAUCAUUUUUUUUUAAUUUUAACUUAUUAAAAUAAAUUAAACAGCCA